RNAcentral lists this ribosomal RNA (465 nucleotides) under uncultured bacterium. Its description in RNAcentral is "partial 16S ribosomal RNA". It matches the Rfam family "Bacterial small subunit ribosomal RNA", at positions 338 to 795 of the family's 1533-position model. The record is from RNAcentral.
CCUACUGGUGUCUGCAGUGGGGAAUCUUGCGCAAUGGGCGAAAGCCUGACGCAGCGACGCCGCGUUAGGGAUUAAGGUCUUCGGAUCGUAACCCUCUGUCAGCAGGGAAGAACGGUCACUGUGCUAAUCAGCAGUGAAUUGACGGUACCUGCAACGGCAGCACCGGCUACGUCCGUGCCAGCAGCCGCGGUAAUACGGAGGGUGCGAGCGAUAAUCGGAAUUACUUGGCGGAAGGGGAGAGUAGACGGCCAUGCAAGCCAGGGGUGAAAGCCCGGGGCCCAACCCCGGGACUGCCCUUGGAACUGCAUGGCUGGAGGGCGGGAGGGGCAGGAGGAAGUCCUGGUGUAGAGGGGAAAUGAGUAGAUAUCAGGAGGAACACCGGCGGCGAAGGCGGCCUGCUGGACCGCGACUGACGUUGAGGCUCGAAAGCGUGGGGAGCGAACAGGAUUAGAUACCCCAGUAGUC